AUGACGAAUCCAGGCUAGCUGAGGUGUGAAGAGGGAUCUAAACGCUGA
Molecule: small nucleolar RNA, 48 nt
Filed under: Pyrobaculum arsenaticum DSM 13514
Lineage: Archaea; Thermoproteati; Thermoproteota; Thermoprotei; Thermoproteales; Thermoproteaceae
Also listed under: 1 other name
Description: PARsR121
Source: RNAcentral